Molecule: long non-coding RNA, 842 nt
Organism: Grus americana (Whooping crane)
Lineage: Eukaryota; Metazoa; Chordata; Aves; Gruiformes; Gruidae
Exons: 5
Source: RefSeq, a predicted model, not a curated record
CUGAGCAUCCCUCUGCCCGUGAUUUACUUGGGCCUUCGCUCACCAGAGACCGCAGGCGCCUGCGGUACAAGAGCCUGCUUCCUACGGAAGGCAGCAGAGAAUGAUCUUGGCUAGCCAGGGCUGAGCCUGUACCUAGAGGUGUCUCGCUUUACAUGGGACAGUGCCAGGCCAGCAGUAUGCUUGUGUCAUCGGCACGGCCUCCCUCGCUUACCGCAUAUCAUGUCGAUGUAUUCAGCCAGGUCACAGUUCAUGUCUGCAGUCGGGAGGCCCACCUGGAAUGGAUGGGGCUGUCAGCUUUGCUCCCACACAGGUCUCGAUGUCGGGCAUUGGCCUGGCCAGGGAGGAAAAGAACAUCAACUUCAGGAGCGCACGCAACUGAAAUGGUUUCCUACUGCUGGACCACUGGGAACAGGACGGCCUCUGUUCAAACCAGCUGAGAGCGAGCUGCAUGUCUGCCGAGGGUCACUGCGUUACGCAGGGAAAGAGAAGUGCAGAGGGGGGAAACGGAGCAUCCCGCACACGUGCAUGCCGCGCUACACCAACCGAUUUCUGCAGGCAGAAGAGCGGCUGGGAGACAAAAUGCAGAGUGAAACCAGGUAGUGACAACGAAAAGGAAACAAAGCUUCACCCGAAGCACACAGAUCCACAGCCUCUACCAAGACUUGCCUGAAGCAAGACUUAGACCCAUCGCAGUUUAAAGCCAUAGAUUAGAGGAAAAGCCAGCGUGCAGCAAGUGCCCUGCAACUCACUGUGACGUUGUGCUGCUUGGAGUUCUCUGUCAGCCAAAGGGAGAGCACGGUGGGAUCCGACUGCUUGGUCGACGGCUCGUCUAGGACCAGCAG